GGUGGAAAUCGCCUCAUUCGGAACGCAGUGACUUUGUAGCCAUGAUCAAGUUUUCUACUUCGCAUAUUCUAGUGGCUUUGGCCUCUGUAGCCUUUAUUACUUUGACGAUAGAAACGGUAUGUUCGCCAUGGGCUCAAGCUACUCCACUUCCUGGUGUCAUUCAGAGUAAACAUGCUCGGAAUCAUGGAAAUACGGCAGACCUGAAUGCAACCCCACAUCGACCUAACCAUCCUCAGAGCCCUCAAGAGCAUCAGCAACAACAUAAACGACAGCAACACCGACGAGUACAUCGUCGACAUGCAGGGACACAAACAGGAGAAAAGCCUCGACAUUUAACGACUGCGUCGAAAUGCAUGGACACAAACAGGAGAACAGUCACGACAAGGGCAACGUCGACAUGUAUGGACACAAACACGCGACCCGUACCCAUGAGCUGAGAUCCAAGCAUCGGGAGUCGUGUAUAUUGAGCCAGAGAAUUUAUAGGAAUUGCGCUAAAGAAAAACUCCGCAACUGAGUACAAUCAUUAAAUAAAUAUUUCUCAAGCAUAUUAUGGCACCAGCGUUUUGCAGAAA
Molecule: long non-coding RNA, 572 nt
Organism: Dermacentor silvarum
Lineage: Eukaryota; Metazoa; Arthropoda; Arachnida; Ixodida; Ixodidae
Exons: 2
Source: RefSeq, a predicted model, not a curated record